Molecule: small RNA, 80 nt
Filed under: Salmonella enterica
Lineage: Bacteria; Pseudomonadati; Pseudomonadota; Gammaproteobacteria; Enterobacterales; Enterobacteriaceae
Description: partial RtT sRNA
Rfam family: RtT RNA
About the family: This family represents a bacterial cis-regulatory element known as RtT RNA. The exact function of RtT is unknown although it is thought that it may be involved in changing the cellular response in relation to amino acid starvation.
Source: RNAcentral
AGCGCAGCGAGAAAGCGUUGCCGCAGGCAACGACCCGAAGGGCGAAGCGCGCAGCGCUGAGUCAUCCUUCCCCACCACCA